This 457-nucleotide ribosomal RNA is filed under the name uncultured bacterium. RNAcentral describes it as "bacterial SSU rRNA". It matches the Rfam family "Bacterial small subunit ribosomal RNA", at positions 8 to 507 of the family's 1533-position model. The record is from RNAcentral.
AGAGUUUGAUCAUGGCUCAGGAUAAACGCUGGCGGCGUGCCUAACACAUGCAAGUCGAACGAUCCCGCAAGGGAGAGUGGCGGAAGGGUGAGUAACACGUGGGAAUCUACCUCCUCGCAGGAAACAACCUCUCGAAAGAGAGGCUAAUACCCAAAAGGGUCAGAAAUGAUCAGAGUCGAAAGGCGUGAGGAGAGGAGCCCGCGGCCCAUCAGCUAGUUGGUGAGGUAAUGGCUUACCAAGGCUACGACGGGUAGGGGAUCUGAGAGGAUGUCCCCCACACUGGAACUGAAACACGGUCCAGACGCCUACGGGUGGCAGCAGUGAGGAAUAUUGGACAAUGGGCGAAAGCCCGAUCCAGCAACGCCGCGUGGAGGAUGAAGGCCUUCGGGUCGUAAACUUCUUUAGAGGGAGGCGAGAAAGGACGGUAUCCCUAGAAUAAGCGACGGCAAACUACGUG